GGUUGGUCUGAAGGUAGUGAGUUACUCAGUUGAUUGUUCAGAGUCAGUUACAGAUCGAACUUCUUAUUCUACUCCUUCCCCCUUCUCGCUACUGCACUUGACUACUCAAAA
Unclassified non-coding RNA from Aotus nancymaae (Ma's night monkey), 111 nucleotides. It matches the Rfam family "Y RNA". Rfam says of the family: Y RNAs are components of the Ro ribonucleoprotein particle (Ro RNP), in association with Ro60 and La proteins. The Y RNAs and Ro60 and La proteins are well conserved, but the function of the Ro RNP is not known. The record is from Ensembl. Lineage: Eukaryota; Metazoa; Chordata; Mammalia; Primates; Aotidae.